RNAcentral lists this ribosomal RNA (406 nucleotides) under uncultured bacterium. RNAcentral describes it as "partial 16S ribosomal RNA". It matches the Rfam family "Bacterial small subunit ribosomal RNA", at positions 30 to 526 of the family's 1533-position model. The record is from RNAcentral.
AUUGAACGCUGGCGGCAGGCCUAACACAUGCAAGUCGAGCGAGUGGCGGACGGGUGAGUAAUGUAUGGGGAACUGCCCGAUAGAGGGGGAUAACUACUGGAAACGGUAGCUAAUACCGCAUACUAUCGGAUGUGCCCAUAUGGGAUUAGCUAGUAGGUGAGGUAAUGGCUCACCUAGGCGACGAUCCCUAGCUGGUCUGAGAGGAUGAGCAGCCACACUGGGACUGAGACACGGCCCAGACUCCUACGGGAGGCAGCAGUGGGGAAUAUUGCACAAUGGGCGCAAGCCUGAUGCAGCCAUCCCGCGUGUAUGAUGAAGGCCUUCGGGUUGUAAAGUACUUUUGGCAGAGAAGCGGUAUCUGCAGAAUAAGCACCGGCUAACUACGUGCCAGCAGCCGCGGUAAUAC